UCAUGUCUUAUUUAUCUCUAUAUCCCUAGGA
This 31-nucleotide non-coding RNA is filed under the name Mus musculus (house mouse). Lineage: Eukaryota; Metazoa; Chordata; Mammalia; Rodentia; Muridae. The record is from RNAcentral. RNAcentral also lists the same sequence under 1 other name.